AAAUGAAGAAGUAAAAAACAGAAAAAGAUAAAAGCUAAGCUUGAAGACGUUUAAGAUCAUAUCUUGGAGAACACAGAUCAACARAAUCUUACUGGUGCUAUCUUUAUUGCUCUCAAAAAGACUUUUGAUUUAGUAAACCAUCAAUGUCUUCUCCACGAGUUAGAACAUUAUGGAGUCAGAGGUCAGAGCAUAAAUUGGUUCAGAUAUUAUUUAACUACACGCUCUCAAAGAGUAUGGUAUGAACAGGACUUAUCAACUAGCCUACACCUUGAAUACGGCGUCCCUCAAGGUUCUUUACUCGGGCCUCUGCUCUUUAGUUAUUCACAUAAACGAAUUGCCAUUGUGUUUAAAAUUAUCUUUGAUCAGCAUGUAUGCCGGUGAUACAGUCAUAUACUUCUCUGGAAUCGAUGUAAGUACUGUCAAGGUUGUUUUACAAGACGACCUAAAUCGUCUUGAGCUGUGGAUGGAGGGAAGUCAGCUGGUACUAAUUCAGAGCAAGAAGAAAGGACUACUCUUUGGAACAAGACAAAAGUUAGAAAACACUGCAGAUUUCAUUCUCCAACUCAAAGGAAAGACCAUUGAAAGAGUCACAAAAUUCCAUUAUCUGGGCAUUAUAUGUUAGAUGAAAACUUCACGUCGAAAGAAAAUUCUGACUUUGUCUACAAUAAUAAAGUGGUUAAAAGCUCGGGUCUUCUGUCAUAGUCUUAUUUAUAUUAAUAUUCAUUAUAACUAAAUUCAUUUUAUUUUUUCGUUAGUUUCAUAUUUAAAUUUUCCAAUUUUCCUUAUUGCGUAUUUUCUUAAGACCAAUUAGUAGUUUUAAUUCUAGCUUGAUUAUGUUAGUAGGAUUUUUAAUUACUAUUAUCGUUUCUAAAAUUGUAAAUUAGUGUAGUAGACUAGUGUAGUAGAAUAGUCAUUUUUUAAAUUGUAAAUUAGUUUUGUAGGGCCCCUAUGGACAACAGCUAUGCUGAAUAUAGGCCACCCUGUUGAAAUAAAGCUAUCUAUCUAAA
Long non-coding RNA from Actinia tenebrosa (Australian red waratah sea anemone), 1007 nucleotides. RefSeq lists it as uncharacterized. The record is from RefSeq and is a predicted model, not a curated record. Lineage: Eukaryota; Metazoa; Cnidaria; Anthozoa; Actiniaria; Actiniidae.